RNAcentral lists this ribosomal RNA (240 nucleotides) under uncultured Stenotrophomonas sp. RNAcentral's name for it is "partial 16S ribosomal RNA". It matches the Rfam family "Bacterial small subunit ribosomal RNA", at positions 557 to 796 of the family's 1533-position model. The record is from RNAcentral. Lineage: Bacteria; Pseudomonadati; Pseudomonadota; Gammaproteobacteria; Lysobacterales; Lysobacteraceae.
GGCGUAAGCGUGCGUAGGUGGUUGUUUAAGUCUGUUGUGAAAGCCCUGCCGCUCAACCUGGGAACUGCAUUGGAAACUGGACAACUAGAGUGUGGUAGAGGGUAGCGGAAUUCCCGGUGUAGCAGUGAAAUGCGUAGAGAUCGGGAGGAACAUCCAUGGCGAAGGCAGCUACCUGGACCAACACUGACACUGAGGCACGAAAGCGUGGGGAGCAAACAGGAUUAGAUACCCUGGUAGUCC